RNAcentral lists this ribosomal RNA (253 nucleotides) under uncultured bacterium. RNAcentral describes it as "partial 16S ribosomal RNA". It matches the Rfam family "Bacterial small subunit ribosomal RNA", at positions 524 to 776 of the family's 1533-position model. The record is from RNAcentral.
GACGAACCGAGCGAACGUUGUUCGGAAUCACUGGGCUUAAAGGGCGCGUAGGCGGCCUGGCAAGUCGGGGGUGAAAGCCUGUGGCUCAACCACAGAAUGGCCUUCGAUACUGCUGGGCUUGAGACCGGAAGAGGUCAGUGGAACUGCGAGUGUAGAGGUGAAAUUCGUAGAUAUUCGCAAGAACACCAGUGGCGAAGGCGGCUGACUGGUCCGGUUCUGACGCUGAGGCGCGAAAGCGUGGGGAGCAAACAGG